Long non-coding RNA from Parambassis ranga (Indian glassy fish), 2059 nucleotides. Lineage: Eukaryota; Metazoa; Chordata; Actinopteri; Ambassidae. The record is from Ensembl.
GUUUUCUCAGGAGUCGUGUGACGCUGACGUCACGCGUGAGUUCGGGGUAUAUUGUUUGGAAUAAUUGACCUGAAAACAAAUUGACUGAGCUGCAGAAAUGCUGCGUUUUCUCUGCUGUUGUUGCUUUUCCUCGGGGGAAAACUCUAACGAGACGCAGCCUCUCCUGCAACCCCGACCAUCUGAAGUGAGUGGAUCAGCCAGGCAGACCCGUCCAGCACACAGUGAUGCAUGGACUGUGAAACGGAUUGGUAGGCUGGUGAUGAGACGAGUGUGCGUGCCAGAGUUGGAUCAGCGGUUUUCCGACAUGGCCGAGACCUUCAAUGAGCAGCAGCAGCGGUAUGAGGCUAUGGUCAAGCACAUCAGAAACCUGCAAAGGAGCUGUGACUGUACUAAUAAUGACAGCCUUGCACUAGCUGAAUGUGUGGGGAAGAUCAGAAAAGAGCAUGAGUCAAAGUGUAGGGUCUCUCUUAAGAUGAAAGGCUAUGACUUCUCCCUCAGUGUGGUUGAGGGUGAAAGCCUGGGUAAGUCACUUCCUUCACGUCUGCAGCUGGCCCAGCAUGAAGUGAAGGACAUUUCUGAGAACGCCAGGGCCACCAUCUCAAAGGGUACCACACUUCAAGAGCUUAUUGGCUGGCUGCUCCGUAGCCAGGACCAAAUGGCUGACCAGGUAAAGGGGGCGGCAGAAACUUACCAAGAGCAAGGAAGACUGAAUGAGAACCUGGAGGAGAACAUGAGGGAAGUGAAGAGGGCAAAGGAGCUGUCACAGGGGUACAGGCAACAGGCCGGGGAAGUUCUCACAGAGGCUGCACAGAUAGCAGGGGCGCAUGUUUAGUUCAUUUAUAGACUUUGACCAAUAAUGUUAGAGGCACAGGAUUCAUCAUGUACAUAAAGUAGAUACACAUUAUAGGCAAAAGGAGGCUGAUAAUUAACUUACAUGGAACAUGUCCAGUACCAGUCUCUACCCACCCACUGUGUGAAUUUGUACAGAAGUGCCAAAGUCUUCUCCAUUCACAUCUGCAGCAACUACACUACACAACAUUUACACUGCACAAUUAAGCUAGAAGAUAGAAUAGAAUGUCUUUUAAUUGUCACUAUACACAAGUACAAUAAGAUUAAAGUGUCAUCCAGUUUCAGUGCAAAAAACAAGAAAUAUAAAAUUUAUUAAAAAAGAGAUAUAAAAAAGAUAUUAAGAAAAAUAUUUACAAAAUAAACAUAGAAGUUAGUGCACAGUCCUGAGAAUAUAAAUAUGGUGUAUAUGCGGAAUUUAAAGUAUGGAAGAAAGGAAAAUAUUGCACAUGUUAUAUGUUGUGAAUAUAAAAUAUUGCACAUGUUGUGUAUUGUCCAUCUGAAUAUGUAAUAUAUUAUUGCACAUUAAAUCAGUGAGUGUGAGAGUUCAGGGUGGGUACAGCUUUUGGAAAGAAGCUGUUUUUGAAUCUGUUUGUCUUUGUCGUGAUGCACCUGUAGCGCCUCCCAGAGGGUAGCAGGGCAAACAGACCAGUGGUGGGAGAGUUACUGGAGUGGGAACUGUCCUUGAUCAUGUUUUUGGCUCUGUUGAGGCAGUGGGAGGUGUAAAUGUCCAUUAGGAAGGGAAGAGGGCAGCCGAUGAUCUUCUGUGCUGUCCUUACAUCUCUCCCUAACCUCUCCCUGUCUGCUACAGUGCAGCUGCCGUAGCAAGAUCAACUACUGCAGGGUGUUCCAGAUACAAUUUGUAUGUGUGGAUUCCACUAUACACUACAACUGAUGUUCUGUCAGCUAGGUUUUUUAAAAAAAAUAAAAAAAUAGCUGAUUGAACAUCAGUUUUAGUUGAUUAAAUAAAUGUGAAUAUUUGAAUAUCUACUAGUCUUUUGUGUACUGUAGAAAUUCAGAAUUGUAACAGUUAAUUAUUUGCCAAUAAAAGAAUGCAAUAUAAAUAGGUUAAUGUGACUAAUAGUAGCCUAGUAUUUCCACAUUGAUCAAUAAACAUUGCAGAGACUAAUUCUUUACAUUGUUUGAGUAGUCAUGUCAUCUUAGUAGCUAACACAAGGGGGCAUUGUAGACUCACUUUACUCUUUAACAGGCU